GAUCCUGGCUCAGGAUGAACGCUGGCGGCGUGCCUAACACAUGCAAGUCGANCGAAGCGGUUUUUAAGGAAGUUUUCGGAUGGAAUUAAAAACUGACUGAGCGGCGGACGGGUGAGUAACGCGUGGGGUAACCUGCCUCAUACAGGGGGGAUAACAGUUAGAAAUGGCUGCUAAUACCGCAUAAGCACACAGCUUCGCAUGGAGCAGUGUGAAAAACUCCGGUGGUAUGAGAUGGACCCGCGU
Molecule: ribosomal RNA, 243 nt
Filed under: uncultured bacterium
Lineage: Bacteria
Description: partial 16S ribosomal RNA
Rfam family: Bacterial small subunit ribosomal RNA
Source: RNAcentral